UACGGAGGAUCCGAGCGUUAUCCGGAUUUAUUGGGUUUAAAGGGUGCGUAGGCGGACUGGUAAGUCAGCUGUGAAAGCCCCGAGCUUAACUUGGGAAUUGCAUCUGAAACUGGUUGGCUAGAGUCUUGUAGAGGGGGGUAGAAUUCCAUGUGUAGCGGUGAAAUGCGCAGAUAUUAGGAGGAAUACCGGUGGCGAAGGCGACUUUCUGGCCAUUAUCUGACGCUGAGGUACGAAAGCGUGGGUAGCAAACAGG
RNAcentral lists this ribosomal RNA (253 nucleotides) under uncultured bacterium. RNAcentral describes it as "partial 16S ribosomal RNA". It matches the Rfam family "Bacterial small subunit ribosomal RNA", at positions 524 to 776 of the family's 1533-position model. The record is from RNAcentral.